GAACUUUUAGUUUAAUUAGAAUUUUUCAUUUACACUGAAAGGGUUAAAAGUUUU
This 54-nucleotide transfer RNA is filed under the name Cyathostomum pateratum. Its description in RNAcentral is "tRNA-Val". Lineage: Eukaryota; Metazoa; Nematoda; Chromadorea; Rhabditida; Strongylidae. The record is from RNAcentral.